Talpa occidentalis (Iberian mole) is the source of this 545-nucleotide long non-coding RNA. RefSeq lists it as uncharacterized. NCBI's taxonomy places the organism in Eukaryota, Metazoa, Chordata, Mammalia, Eulipotyphla, Talpidae. The transcript has 3 exons. The record is from RefSeq and is a predicted model, not a curated record.
UCUCUCCAAAAUGCGACACCUGAGGGCGCCCCAGCGUCACUUGGAAAAUGUGGGGACGUGCAGUCCUGAUGGCUCACGCAUCCGUUCUGGAGCCGUGCGCCACUCGCACUCUGGGCUCCGGACAGAACGCCUCUAUUGGCAGUGGUUUUGCACUGAACAUGGAAUCAAAGACAGAUGAAGAGAGAGUUUCCUUAAGAGAUGAGUAUAUGUGUGGGAGGAAAAAACUGGAAUGGAACCGACUGAGGUUUCAGAAAUAAAGUGGGAUAGACUCUCCACAAGGAAAGCGUCUAGUUCCAGCCACUGUGUGUUUCAAACCUGCACUUUCACGUGGGAAAUAAACCUGUGUGCCCAGAAAGUGAUGGACUGAGCCUCCCAUACUGACAGUACCCACCGCAUGCCAUCUGCCUGACAGAAACGUAGACAGGACAAGAAGGAAGGAGAGGCGGUGAGGUAGUUCUCCCGUUGGCCACCAGGGGACGCGUCAGCUCUUGACGCCCUGGUCCCGGGCGGUGUGUGGGGAGCGCCGUUCCAGCGGCGUAAUAAGG